This 28-nucleotide non-coding RNA is filed under the name Mus musculus (house mouse). Lineage: Eukaryota; Metazoa; Chordata; Mammalia; Rodentia; Muridae. The record is from RNAcentral.
UAACAAUAGGAUUUGCUAGGCCCCAGGC